ACGGGAGGCAGCAGUGGGGAAUAUUGCACAAUGGGGGAAACCCUGAUGCAGCGACGCCGCGUGAGCGAUGAAGUAUUUCGGUAUGUAAAGCUCUAUCAGCAGGGAAGAUAAUGACGGUACCUGACUAAGAAGCCCCGGCUAACUACGUGCCAGCAGCCGCGGUAAUACGGAGGGGGCAAGCGUUAUCCGGAUUUACUGGGGGUAAAGGGAGCGCAGGCGGUUUUGUAAGUCUGAUGUGAAAGCCCGUGGCUCAACUGCGGGACUGCAUUGGAAACUGGAGAACUAGAGUGUCGGAGGGGCAAGUGGAAUUCCUAGUGUAGCGGUGAAAUGCGUAGAUAUUAGGAGGAACACCAGUGGCGAAGGCGGCUUGCUGGACGAUAACUGACGCUGAGGCUCGAAAGCGUGGGGAGCAAACAGGAUUAGAUACCCUGGUA
This 434-nucleotide ribosomal RNA is filed under the name uncultured Lachnospiraceae bacterium. RNAcentral describes it as "partial 16S ribosomal RNA". It matches the Rfam family "Bacterial small subunit ribosomal RNA", at positions 341 to 792 of the family's 1533-position model. The record is from RNAcentral. Lineage: Bacteria; Bacillati; Bacillota; Clostridia; Lachnospirales; Lachnospiraceae.